UACGGAGGGUGCGAGCGUUUUCCGGAAUCACUGGGCGUAAAGGGCUCGUAGGCGGCCAACUAAGUCGGACGUGAAAUCCCCAGGCUCAACCUGGGAACUGCGUCCGAUACUGGAUGGCUUGAAUUCGGGAGAGGGAUGCAGAAUUCCAGGUGUAGCGGUGAAAUGCGUAGAUAUCUGGAGGAAUACCGGUGGCGAAGGCGGCAUCCUGGACCGACAUUGACGCUGAUGAGCGAAAGCUAGGGGAGCAAACGGG
RNAcentral lists this ribosomal RNA (253 nucleotides) under uncultured bacterium. RNAcentral describes it as "partial 16S ribosomal RNA". It matches the Rfam family "Bacterial small subunit ribosomal RNA", at positions 524 to 776 of the family's 1533-position model. The record is from RNAcentral.